This 74-nucleotide transfer RNA is filed under the name Candidatus Coatesiibacteriota bacterium. RNAcentral describes it as "Candidatus Coatesbacteria bacterium tRNA-Arg". It matches the Rfam family "tRNA". Rfam says of the family: Transfer RNA (tRNA) molecules are approximately 80 nucleotides in length. Lineage: Bacteria; Candidatus Coatesiibacteriota. The record is from RNAcentral.
GCGCCAGUAGCUCAGUUGGAUAGAGCGUCGGCCUCCGGAGCCGAAGGUCAGAGGUUCGAAUCCUCCCUGGCGCA